Non-coding RNA from Callithrix jacchus (white-tufted-ear marmoset), 1730 nucleotides. The record is from RefSeq and is a predicted model, not a curated record. NCBI's taxonomy places the organism in Eukaryota, Metazoa, Chordata, Mammalia, Primates, Cebidae.
AGGCCGGAUGAAGCAUUCGGGCGUUGCCUCUGAGGAAGGGUGGGGCUGGCUGUGACGCAGCGUGCCUGCUGCCGCCUGCAGGGGCGCUGUUGCUGGUGCGAUUCUAUCAAGCGCAGAGCCAGCCUAGUAGGCUGAGGCAGAGAAAUGGGUUCUGUAGUCCCAGAGACUCGGUUUCCCCCUCUGGAAAGUGUUUGUUUGUUUGUGACAGGGUCUCAUUCUGCUGGAGUGCAGUGGCGUGAUCUCAUGUCGCUGCAACCUCCGCCUCCCUGGGUUUAAACGAUCCUCCCACCCCAGGCUUCCGAGUAGCUGGGACCACAGGCGCGCCACCACCGCCGGCUAACGUUUACAUUUUUUGUAGAAAUGAAGUCUCUCUGUGCUGCCUGGGUUGAUCUCGAACUCUUGGGCUGAAGCGAUCCUUCCGCCUUGGCCUCCCAAAGUGCUGGGAUUAGAGGUGUGAGCCACUGCACUGCUGAAAACCAUCUGGGCCUCUACUGUGCAAGAGAAACAAGUUUCCACCCUGUGUGUCCUGCGCCAGCUCAGGUCUGCGCUCACUGCACUCUGCUGUGUCACUGAGUCAACUCAAGCAACCCACUUCCUCAUUCAGGCUUCAGUCUACUUGCCUAUAAAACAGGGACAAUGAUCCCUGCCUAGUGAACACUGCAAGAGUCAUGCUUGGGGCUUCUUGGACUGCAUAGGCAGCUUCAAUCUGAUGAUUGUGGCCCCCUGGCCUCAACAGAAUUCAUCUUGGACCCCCCUUUUAACCCCAAACCCCCAUUCCUCCUUGCUGUCAGCUGCUUGUGAGCCUUCUCACAUCCAGAGAAUGUAUCAGCAUUCUACAGACCGAAAAGACCCAAAGGAACAAGGCUCUAAUGGCAAAAUUCCAACUAGAAUGACAAAUAAAUGGGGAGCCAUGUGAAAGCAAGAGAGUCCUGCUCAACACCCCCCCAAGCCUUCCUCAGUCACCUCAGACCAGCCACUCACCUCCAUCCUCCCAGCACCACCUGUGACCAGCCCCUUGCCCCCUGCAAAUUGGAGCAUGACUGGAUCUUGAGAUGGGGGAAAAUGCUUCAUCAUGUUCUGCUUCUUCAUGCAAAACCAGAAACUCCCUCCCCCUCUUCCCUCCUCCCCAGCGCACUCUCCUUCCAGUAAAACGUGGUUAAAGGGACAGCACCAUCACUUUCCCAGCUCUGAGGGUAUGCUUAGAACCAGGAGGCUGGGAAGGAGACAGAGGGUAAAGAGAAAGGAACUGGCAGAGCUCUUUCCUGGGGGAUCUGUCUGUUCUGUCCUGGGGAUCCUGGAGCAGGAAAGCUGGGUAAAGUGGGGGUGUAGUGGGGGUUGAGAUACUGCCCGCGGGAGGUUUGGAGUGGGAGCAGGGGUCUACAAACUCUCAAGGGGGUCUCAAGGCUCCCGACAUCCCCAGGGGUCCUUUUGCAGGGGUCCCUACGCAAAAGGAGGAGAGCCCAAAUGUGCGUGGGAGAACAUCACAGAAAACAGGGAACUGGACCCCUACGGGCAGUCCAGGGAGGGGUGCCUAGCUCACUGUGUGACCCUGCUGAAUCACUACUUCCCCUCUCAGGUCCCCAAAGCACAGUGUGCCUCCCUCCACUCCCGUUAAGGUUAAACUCCCAGCACCAGAGAACAGCCCCUGUCCCCGGUGCUGAAGCACCAGCCGCAGCGGCCACCCCCACUCCAAGGCAUAAAACACGAGCCAAAACCAAUAAAAAGCCAAA